Molecule: ribosomal RNA, 983 nt
Filed under: Microbacterium sp.
Lineage: Bacteria; Bacillati; Actinomycetota; Actinomycetes; Micrococcales; Microbacteriaceae
Description: bacterial SSU rRNA
Rfam family: Bacterial small subunit ribosomal RNA
Source: RNAcentral
UGCAAGUCGAACGAUGAAGCUGGAGCUUGCUCUGGCGGAUUAGUGGCGAACGGGUGAGUAACACGUGAGCAACCUGCCCCUGACUCUGGGAUAAGCGCUGGAAACGGCGUCUAAUACUGGAUAUGUGAUGUGACCGCAUGGUCUGCGUCUGGAAAGAUUUUUCGGUUGGGGAUGGGCUCGCGGCCUAUCAGCUUGUUGGUGAGGUAAUGGCUCACCAAGGCGUCGACGGGUAGCCGGCCUGAGAGGGUGACCGGCCACACUGGGACUGAGACACGGCCCAGACUCCUACGGGAGGCAGCAGUGGGGAAUAUUGCACAAUGGGCGAAAGCCUGAUGCAGCAACGCCGCGUGAGGGAUGACGGCCUUCGGGUUGUAAACCUCUUUUAGCAGGGAAGAAGCGAGAGUGACGGUACCUGCAGAAAAAGCACCGGCUAACUACGUGCCAGCAGCCGCGGUAAUACGUAGGGUGCAAGCGUUAUCCGGAAUUAUUGGGCGUAAAGAGCUCGUAGGCGGUCUGUCGCGUCUGCUGUGAAAUCCCGAGGCUCAACCUCGGGCUUGCAGUGGGUACGGGCAGACUAGAGUGCGGUAGGGGAGAUUGGAAUUCCUGGUGUAGCGGUGGAAUGCGCAGAUAUCAGGAGGAACACCGAUGGCGAAGGCAGAUCUCUGGGCCGUAACUGACGCUGAGGAGCGAAAGGGUGGGGAGCAAACAGGCUUAGAUACCCUGGUAGUCCACCCCGUAAACGUUGGGAACUAGUUGUGGGGUCCUUUCCACGGAUUCCGUGACGCAGCUAACGCAUUAAGUUCCCCGCCUGGGGAGUACGGCCGCAAGGCUAAAACUCAAAGGAAUUGACGGGGACCCGCACAAGCGGCGGAGCAUGCGGAUUAAUUCGAUGCAACGCGAAGAACCUUACCAAGGCUUGACAUACACGAGAACGGGCCAGAAAUGGUCAACUCUUUGGACACUCGUGAACAGGUGGUGCAUGG